AUUGAACGCUGGCGGCAUGCUUUACACAUGCAAGUCGAACGGCAGCGCGGGCUUCGGCCUGGCGGCGAGUGGCGAACGGGUGAGUAAUACAUCGGAACGUGCCCAGUAGUGGGGGAUAGCUCGGCGAAAGCCGGAUUAAUACCGCAUACGACCUGAGGGUGAAAGCGGGGGAUCUUCGGACCUCGCGCUAUUGGAGCGGCCGAUGGCGGAUUAGCUAGUUGGUGGGGUAAAGGCCUACCAAGGCGACGAUCGGUAGCUGGUCUGAGAGGACGACCAGCCACACUGGGACUGAGACACGGCCCAGACUCCUACGGGAGGCAGCAGUGGGGAAUUUUGGACAAUGGGCGAAAGCCUGAUCCAGCAAUGCCGCGUGUGUGAUGAAGGCCUUCGGGUUGUAAAGCACUUUUGGCGGGAACGAAAAGGACUGUGCCAAUACCACGGUUUGAUGACGGUACCCGCAGAAUAAGCACCGGCUAACUACGUG
This 484-nucleotide ribosomal RNA is filed under the name uncultured bacterium. RNAcentral describes it as "partial 16S ribosomal RNA". It matches the Rfam family "Bacterial small subunit ribosomal RNA", at positions 29 to 507 of the family's 1533-position model. The record is from RNAcentral.